CCUACGGGGGGCAGCAGUGGGGAAUAUUGGACAAUGGGGGCAACCCUGAUCCAGCCAUGCCGCGUGUGUGAAGAAGGCCCUCGGGUUGUAAAGCACUUUCAGUGAGGAAGAACGCCUGGUGGUUAAUACCCAUCAGGAAAGACAUCACUCACAGAAGAAGCACCGGCUAACUCCGUGCCAGCAGCCGCGGUAAUACGGAGGGUGCGAGCGUUAAUCGGAAUUACUGGGCGUAAAGCGCGCGUAGGUGGCUUGAUAAGCCGGUUGUGAAAGCCCCGGGCUCAACCUGGGAACGGCAUCCGGAACUGUCAAGCUAGAGUGCAGGAGAGGAAGGUAGAAUUCCCGGUGUAGCGGUGAAAUGCGUAGAGAUCGGGAGGAAUACCAGUGGCGAAGGCGGCCUUCUGGACUGACACUGACACUGAGGUGCGAAAGCGUGGGUAGCAAACAGGAUUAGAUACCCUUGUAUC
RNAcentral lists this ribosomal RNA (464 nucleotides) under Vreelandella stevensii. RNAcentral describes it as "partial 16S ribosomal RNA". It matches the Rfam family "Bacterial small subunit ribosomal RNA", at positions 338 to 794 of the family's 1533-position model. The record is from RNAcentral. Lineage: Bacteria; Pseudomonadati; Pseudomonadota; Gammaproteobacteria; Oceanospirillales; Halomonadaceae.